AGAUGUGAGGGUGAUCCAGCUGAGGCAUCUGUUGCCCCUAUUGAUUGCCAGGGUUGAUUUGGCUAAUCUGGCUGGCGAGGUAGGUGUCCCCUUCCCCUUUCACCACUCCAUGUGCAUCCUUCCCAAGGUUGUGCACUUGGUGGAAGAGGACAUCCUUCCCCAAACGAGGAGGACAGGUCUUCCAUCAAGGGUACAUGAGUAGCUGCACUUCCCUGCUUGAUCCUUCAAACAAGCUCUCAAGAAUGAAAUUGGUGUCCCAUCAUAGGUAGUGGGCUCCAAAAAGCCCAUGUAGAUGUAACCAACCAUCUUAUU
RNAcentral lists this small nuclear RNA (312 nucleotides) under Peromyscus maniculatus bairdii (prairie deer mouse). RNAcentral describes it as "7SK RNA (ENSPEMG00000007361.2)". It matches the Rfam family "7SK RNA". Rfam says of the family: 7SK was discovered as an abundant small nuclear RNA in the mid-70s but a possible function has only recently been suggested. Two independent studies have found that 7SK RNA binds the CDK9/cyclin T complex (known as elongation factor P-TEFb). The record is from RNAcentral. Lineage: Eukaryota; Metazoa; Chordata; Mammalia; Rodentia; Cricetidae.